This 13026-nucleotide long non-coding RNA is filed under the name Ananas comosus (pineapple). RNAcentral describes it as "long non-coding RNA (ACOM_LNC005145)". Lineage: Eukaryota; Viridiplantae; Streptophyta; Magnoliopsida; Poales; Bromeliaceae. The record is from RNAcentral.
GAACUCGUUCCUACAUAUUAAUGGUGGGAAUCAGUAUGUGGAAUUAAGAAAGAAAUAAGGUGAAACACCGAAGCUAAUGAAACCCCUAUAUUAUGUUAGUGUUCACCUUGAAGUUAAAUCUAGUGGCAAAAUUGCACUGCAACAGGGUGAGAAUCAGGUAUACGAUGCCAAUUAUUUUGACCUCCAAAUAUGCAAUUUGCAUUGAUCUCAUCGAUUAGACCCAUGCAUUUAAAGUCCAAUUUUCAAAACUUAGGCUAUAAGGGACAAAUUUUUCUUGGGUUAAUUGCAUAUAAGUCCCUACAAACAUAGUGAAUUGCAAAUAUAUUCCUACAAAAUUCAACUUUCCUGUAUUGUCCCUGCAAAAGUCAAAAUGUUUUCAAAUAUGUCCCAACCGUUAGAAUUCAUUAGAAAACUUUAGUUAACCAUAGGUAAAAUACUUAACCCUGGUUAGUUUAUGAGAUAACUUGACAAUAUUACCUCUCUUAUAUUAUACUGUUGUGGCUUUUGAAAAAACAUAUUUGUGAUGGCAAAAUUGGCAUGUCACUUAUUUGCUGUUAAAAUAUAAACAGCUCUCUAACGGUAGCAAACCAAAGGAACAUAUUUGAAACCAUUAGAAUUUUUGUAUGGACAACAUAUGAAAGUUGAACUUUGUAGGGAUAUAUUUACAAUUCACUGUGUUUGCAGGGACCUAUAUACAUUUAACCCAUUUUUCUUUGAGGGAAAAUGCAUAAAAUCUAUUAUAAAGGCGGCCAUAUAUCUAUCACAUCAAUUUGCUGUAAGCCAAGGAUGUAAGUGUCGUGGCACGGGAUCAUGCCGAAACUUACCAGCACAGCACGGCACGAUGCAUGUCGGUCCGUGCCAAUGCGUUCGAUCACAAAAAAUAUGUGUGCCGACACGUAAUAGCGUGAAAUAUUUAUUUUUUUUAGCAACAAAUUAUGCCAAUUAUUUAUUAUAUAUUUUUUUCAAAUCUUUUGAACUUUAUUUAGAAAAUUACUUACUAAUUUCAAAAAUAGAGAAUUUUGAAUUGUGCCAUCGGCACAAGAGCUGUAUUGUGCCGAUAUCUUGCUAGCACGACACGGCACGAUAGAUACGACUUGUGCCGAUGGGCACUUUAAUCCUUGUUGUAAGCUUCACUGUGUUACACGAAGGAAUUUGAUAGAAUAUUUACUUAUUAUUAAGAAAAGUGGUUCAUUCUGACUUAAACCUUCAAUAUUAUCAAAUGCCAAAUUUCUUCUUAACAAAUUUGGCUAGAAUCAGAGUUGCUUUCCAAAUAUGAAAGUGUUUAAUUGCACAAUAACACAUUCAGUGGUAAUUAGAAUAAAUUGGUUUUAAGAAAUCAAAACUGAAGAUUGAGUAUAUAGCAUCUAACAAUUUGAACCAUAUUGAACUGAUACAACGUAUUUGAAAAUUGGAAGUAAUAAACAUGAAAAACAAAAUUUGCUGAGAAUAUAAAAUUCUACCUGAAUGCAAUUUGCUGUCCCCAAACGAAAAAGUGGUUAGGAGUAUCUGAUCUUCAAAAGGUCGACAAAAUUAUCAAGUGCAGCAAGAAUGUGACGUUUCUCAGGCUUGAAGGAUGGUUGGCCAACCGUGGUUUGAUCCUGGAAUUAUUAUUAAGUAUUAUAAAAAUAGGAAACUUGCAAACUGCCCAAUAAGUUACAUACUAGCACUUUGUUAAUAUAUACCGAAAAAAUGAACUAAUAUAAGUAUACUGCCAGAUGAACUACUAAUAUAUUCUGUAGGAUACAAAAGAUAAAAUCAACUCAUUGCAAUUGAAAUGAUAUAGAAUCCAAAAAGAGGAAGAUAGAAACAUACAAAGGCCAGUUGUUCUCAUUCUUUUCUCUUGGCGGAAGUCCGAUACCCCAGUUGUUUGUUUCAUAACUGAAGUCGAACCUUUUCAAAUAUGGGGGGAAAAAUGAACAAAGAGAUGAAGAAAUAUGUGCUCAUAUGAAAAAUAGCUUUUCGUAAUGUUUCUAUGUGGUCGUUUGGAAACCAUUACAUUUAGGUUGUUUAAUGACCAACCUGUUAAACCAAUCACCGGAGUUAUACGAGUCACGAUCAAGUGAUUUGGACCGCAAUAUCUCAUCACCAGCAUGGAAAAAUGGUACUCCCUAUGAAGAUGAAGUGAUUAGGCAACAAAAUUUGAUUAGUCUGAUGGCCUCGCAAUAGCAGUAGAUAAUCAGAGUGCUUUUCGAAAAACGAUUUCAACUUCCAACAGUCAAAAAUUAGUCAUUUCACCGCCGCUGGCGAUUACUCCAGAAAGAGUGAGCAUAUCACUGGUCUUUCUUGUAUAAGUUAGUUUUCUGAUUUUCUAACAAGAGCCAUAAGGCCCAUUACAAUGGCAGGCAUGAUUUCUGAAAAGGAGAAAAACUAGUUCCCAUUCCAACAAAACUUAUAAAUUACAGUGACGGCAUAUCUUAUGAGCAAUUACAGUGAGAGUGGCAAAUCUUUAUAUAAAUUAAGCACGUAUCUGUUUCCUCUUAAUCUUUAUGAAGAAUAACCAUAGAUGAUAAAAAAUUAUACAACUCCAUAAGCAAGGCGUAUAACUGCACACCUAAAAUUAAUUACAAAAAGAAUUGCAAACUAAUGACUAGGACAUGAUAAAAGCAUUGGGACAAACCUGGGACAAUGCUAUGAUGCUUGAGGCCAAAUGAUUAAUCCUACAUCUGUCAUCUACAGUGAGUUCCACUGGAGUCUGCAUAACAAAAAGAGAAUUUAAGAUGAAAGGGCUUUUACUUCAUAUAUGAUGUAUAAAGGACAAUAUAAAUCUUUGCUCACAUACAUGAAAAAGAAGUGAAAUAUCAGGAUUUGAUGGUGCGGAACCAACAAUUUAUUGCUAAAGAACACCAAGAAGAAAUUUUUGGAGAAUGCAAUUGGGGAUCAUCAUCAUAAAGAUAUUUUAUUUUGAAUUUUUCUCUACAAGAAAUUAACUAUGGAAUAUCUUGAAGAGUAUUCGUAGACAAACAGAGCAAAGCCUUUCAACCAUUUUUAAAAAGAUGACCAAAGAAAGAUGUAUUCAAAAUAGAUCAAUGUACCUUCAAGCUGACAAUAUCAAACAAAGUCUCAUUGUCAUGAGCAGACACGUAGUUGACCUGAAAAUGAUACACCAACAUCUUUUGCUCAUGAGACUUGUGUUAUCAAAAGAUGUGAACAUUAUAUAUGUUAAUUUCCAAACAAACCCAACGAACAAAAUGAAGUAUAGUGUCGACUGUUUAAAUUUACAAACUAUAUCAAUUAAUGCAAGAUUGAAGUAGGUUAUGCUAAUUUUGUUUAAGAAUUAGCUAUAGCUAGACUUACCGUUUCCGUGGGGGACAAAGCAUACCCAACUGGCAUUCCAUCAUUAGUCGGAACUUCCGAUCCUUUCAUCUGUUAAUAACACAUAAAUAGGAUCACUAGUAUGGUUAUAGUCAUAGGCUAAGUUAAAAAUGGCAAAUGUGAAAAAACAGGAAAUAACUCAUGAGACUUCACAGGAUUACAACCUGUCAAUCAAAAAAAUUGUAGAAAAUGAACUAGAAAUAGUUUGUUACUAGCGCAUGUAUCCUGAAAUUUCUGCAGAAGUUGAGGGCUCUUCUGCACUAAAAACGUGCAAAUAAAUUAAGACAUAAGCCAAAGGAUCUCAAGCGUUAAUCUUACAUACAAUACCGCAAACAAUCCAAGUGUUACGGCAAAAGCAAGCGGAAAAGAUCUAGUUCGUCGAGCGUUUAGCCGGACACCAUCAUAAUUUUUUUUUAUUCCUAUUAGAUUACUAUAAAUCUUAAAAAGAUAGCAUGAACCAAACUGACCCGUAUAAUUAAAUUAAGUUUGUUAUUUAUGUGAGCAUGUGUGUACGGUGAAAUUACAGUGAAACCAAAUUGAAGCAGAUCGAAAGUCAAAGUGAGUCAUUCCAAUUAAUGGUGUUCAAUUAAUUGCACAGGAGCAGGCACAGGGAGAGUGCUAGGGCUAGACAGAGCAGGGCGGAGGGGCAGGGAGCGGGUGGUUUCGGAGCGGGAGCUGCGGCGGGGGCGCGGAGGGACGGAGGGUUUUUGAGCGCGGGUGCGGGGAAAGGGGGGGCUGAGGGCUGGGGGGUGGGGGCUGGGCUAGGCUGACCGAGGGGGAGCUCAGGCCAGGCGGGGCCCGAGCUCGGGGAAGGGGAAGGGGAAGGGGAAGGGGAAGGGUGAGAGGGACGCACCUGAGAAGUAGGAAGAGCACCGGAGUGGGAGGAGCGCAGCAGCCGGCCGGCGGAGGGAGCGAAGUCGCCUUGGAGGAGUAGCCAUCGAAGAGGGUUUCUUGGGAGGAGGAGGUUGGGGGGAGAAAGGAGAUCUAUUUUUUUNGCCGAUCGUCGAAUCGAACAUCCUAUCAUCGAAAACAACUUACAAGCACGGGGCCUCCCGUACUUUCGAAAGUACGGGAGACGGACUCUAUAUAUAUAUAUAUAUAUAUAUAUAUAUAUAUAUAUAUAUAGAGUCCGGCUACUAUAUUAUUAAUAGCACGAAACACUUGGUGCGACCAAGUUUUCCGCCGUUAAAUCUAUUCUUUUGAUCAUUUUCACUCGUUAGAUCAUACUAUUCAACCAACCACCCACUCAACCCUAGGAGGCCCACAUUAUCCUAACCACACAUCUCUUAAUCUAAUGGCUAAAAACUUGGUAGCACCAAUGACUUAAUAGUAUAGUAGCAUAUAUAUAUAUAUAUAUAUAUAUAUAUUAUAUAAUAUUUAUUUAUUUAUUUGAUUAUUGUAUUUAUAUAUUUAAGAUAAUGAGCUCACAGAGCGUCUUAGAGGCCGCUUUGCCAGUGGUUAAGAAACAACCCGUUUUUAGCAACCGCCUCUACAAGCGCUUUUUUUUUUUAGUAUUUAUGAAUCUUGUUCAUGGCUUCAAUCCGUUUUCGAACUGGUCUCAAAGCUCACAUAUAUGCUACUCUAGCAAUUGACUAAUUUAUUAUUCUCGUAAAUCAUACAAGAAUCAAAUUAUAACUAGUAUAAUUACCAAUUAAAUAAUUUUAUAUUAUAAAUCUUUUGUUAUUUAAUUGCACGACAGCAGGGAGAGUGCACAGAGAUCAUAUCAAUAAUAUAAGAGAGAGAAAAUCUUUAUUCUCUAUUCAUUUAUUACUUUUUCGUUUCAAUAAUCAGAAUGAGAAAGGUGGGGGUGAUGCAUGCAGAUGUUUUGCAUAUAGUGUAGUAAUAGAUACAGAUGUUGUAGCAAGAUGCAUGUCGAAGAAGAUUCGCGUACGGGCAUUUACAGCAGCUAGCCAUUAGGACCGUGUUCGGUGAUCCGCAUGUCCUCUUCAAGGAAGCCGAAAGGGUACCAGCCGCCGGUGUAUCGCUGGAAGCCGCAGGCAUCAAGGGCAGCAGCCCACUUUCUGAUGCCCGACGUACCCGGGGGGUUGAAUUUGGCGAUUCUGUUGUACAUCUCUUUGUAGCACAUGUAGUCCACCGUCAGGUCCANCCACCGCACCGAUCACGACUACUCGGUCGGCCUCGUCCGGCACCGAACCGUUAUGACCGGCAAGACCUCGACCCCUACCGGGUUGAACUACCUGUAGCCGCCACCGCUAACCACCCGCUCCUGUUCGUUGUCGUCAUCCUCUUCGUAAGUAGUUGAUCCCCCUCCUCGAUUCCUCCCUUUCUUUUUUCCUUUUCACUUACUCUAUAAUUUAUUACUCUCCUAUCUCUGCCUCUUCUGGGAUUGCAGCACUUGCCAUUUUAUAGACGUAGUUUGGUAGUAACAAGCAAAUUUUAUAUUUAAGUUACAUCUUAACGAUAAUAAAUGUAUCAAUAUUUUCAUAGUCCUGCUGAAGAUAAACUUGUGCGUUUGAGUAUGACAUAAUUGUUACGCAUGCGUUUGCUAUUAAUUAAUUAAGCGAUGCGUAUUGUUUCGCAACAAACAAAAUUAAUUAAAUGUCGGUUAGCUUCAAAUACAUGCUUUUAACCUAAUAAAAAAAUUUAGCUAUUUUGCAAACGCUUGGAAACUUUAACAUUAGCAAAUUAAUUCGAUUUCUUAAAUUUUAUCAAAUAGUUGAAUACAGAGGCCUCUCUCUUCACUUGAAUUGCAAUCCUUAUUACCGUUUAAGCCGGUAUUUUGAAUAUAAUCAUAUAAAGCUUCAAAACGCGAUUCUUUUUCCCCAUCGUCUAACAUAGAAAUCAAAAAAUGAAGCUAGAUCGAUUCAUCCCGUCAAAGAGAAAAAAUAAUUUUCUUUUCAAUAUUUUAAAUGGUUAAUUAUACCAGUAUUCCCCAACUUUUUUUUUUGCAAUUGAGUCCCUAAUCUCUUAAUUUUAUUACAAUUACGUUCCAACCGUUAAAAUAAUUGUUAAAAUUAACGGAAUCGCCAGGUCAGCGUCUAUUUGUCAAUCUUUUACAUGUCAAUUUAGGUCCCUUAAUUUUGCACGUUUUUCAUUUUAGUCCCUAAAAAAAAUUUUCAAAAUUUUAAAUUUAAAUUCAAAAAUAAUAUUAAAAUUAAAAAUUUAAACUAACGAGAAAUUAGAAUUUUGAAUUUGAAUUUAAAGCUGAAUUGAAAUUUUGAAUUGAAAUUCAAAUUUUAAAUUUAAAAUUUUAAUUGAAUCCAAAUUUUGAAUUCAAACUUAAAAUUUUGAUUUUGAUUUUGAUAUUUCAAUUUACAUUUAAAAUGAAAGUUUUGAAAACAAAAUUUAAAUUUAAAAUCUGAAUUAAAAUUUAAAAUCAUAUUCAAAAUUUUGAUUUUAAAUUUUAAAUUUGAAUUUAAGAUUUGAUUUCAAUUAUAAAUUUGAAUUUAAACUUCGAAUUCAAAUUCACAUUUUGAAUUUGAAAUUUCAAAUCGAAGUUUGAAAUUAAAUUAGAAUUUAGAAUUCCAAAUGUGAAUUUGAAUUUAAAAUUAAAAAUUUAAAAUUAAAUACAAAAUCAGAAUUUGAAUUCUAAUUAAAAUUUGAAUUCAAUAUCAAAUUUUAAAUCUUUAAAUUAAAUUUUUUUUUGAAUUUAUAAAUUUAAUGGGUUUAAUUACACCAUUGGUCCUCAACAUUUACACCGAUUUUCAAUUUGGUCCCCAAUCCCUUUUUUUUUUUGCAAUCCGCUGACACAGCACCACCGUGGCACCGACACGACGCCUCCGUGGCACUGACAUGGCGCCUCCGUGGCACUGACAUGGUGCUGACGUGGCAUUUUCCGUCAAUUUUAACAGUUAUCUAACGACUGGGACUUAAUUGAAAUGAAAUCAAGAGUUUAGGAACUUGAUUGCAAAAAAAAAAAAAGGUUUGGGGACCAAAUUGAAAAAUAGUGUAAAGGUUAGGGACUAUUGGUGUAACUAACCCUAUUUUAAAAGCUUACAAGAUUACGUGCAUAAUUCACAAUCAAAACAGAUAAACAAUUAAUAACUAUAGUUGAAGGAGCCUAAUAACUAAAAUAGUAAGUUCAAAUGGUUGUUUGCGAAAAAAGGCUUUAGAGUUAUGAUGGUGAAUUUCAGAGCUCUUUUAUAAAAUGCAAGUUCUGAUAGCAAUUCACAGUUACAGCGAGUGAAACAUUGAUUAAUAGAGAAUGCACUUCUUUAAGCAUCAUAUUUGGAUAACAUUUAUCCAUUACAAAAGUCAUAAAAUGGCUGUGCUGCAUUAGACCACGUUGAUCAUGCACAUUACUCCAAAAGAACAAACUUCAUAAAUAAAUUUUACAGCAGAAAACCAAAGAUAUAUUCGACGUUACAGGUGGGAUACGCUAGUCCUAUCAAAAAGAUAUUGUAAAGACUAUAACAGGUCUCAUAUCUCAUCGUGCAUUACAAAACCAAGUAAAUGAGCACAGAUCUCAAGGAUAGGGUGACGGGCAAUAAGAACAAGUAGAUGACAAAGUUGCUAUAUAUAUAUAUAUAUAUAGUUGAAUAAAAUUAUAAUUGUUUUUUCGAUUUACCAAAAAAUGUAAAAAAUUUCUAACCAAUACAUGUAGGCAAAUAACUUUUAGGCGUCAAGAAAUAAAACUUGCAAGUGACGAAAAAAAAACUUUGCAAGUGUCAAAAAAAACAGCUAUCAAAAAGCUUGAAAUGAUUGUUAACUCAAUUGUUGAGUAUCAUAAAGAGCAAAAGGAGAAAAAAUUUUAUAGAGAAAGAAACAAAGAGAGAUGAAUAUUAGCGCUAGAUGGUAUACAUGAUUCAUUCAAUACAUACCACGAAACUCUAAAUCUUUACAUCUCUUACCAUAACGAUUUGGUGGAGGAACUUUAGGGCACCCUUGGGGAAAUGUUAAGCAUUCUGCCAGCGUUCAUCCUGAGGCAGGAUCGAACUCUCCAUUUGUAUUCAUGCGCUUCAGAUUAUCCUGAAGUUCGCUCGUGCGGAUGGGACUAUCUCUGCUGCUUUCCUUCUAUGACAUAAAUCGUUGUGUUGCAGCCAUCAAGCCUAGUGUCAACUCCAGAUCGACCCCCACGAGGAUCGUCUAUGCCCUAAACCAUUCCGUCAUCGCCGUUGAGCCCGGAUCAACUUUGGAUCCACCUCGGUGAUAAUCCUCUUUAGCGUGGGAGGUGGCAGCCCAGCCCUGUAUGCCAUUAACUACUCCAUCACUGCCGCCAAGCGAGUCGUCAAAUUUAGCAAUAAUCUUCUUUGCCAUACGAAGCGACGGCGGUGUACUGCUCAACAACUUUCGUAGAUGCAUGUGACAGAGAAAGUUGAGAUAAGAACGAUGGAAGGAUAGGGCAGGCAGAGAAAAAGAAAGUAAGAGAAAGUGAGGAGUCAAAAAAAUCCUAAUAAAAGAGAAAAGAGCGGAAGAAGAGAAAUCUACAAGAGAAAAAGGGGAUGAGUAAAAGAAGAAAGAGCAUCUUGUGCUCGAUCUCCAUGAUGGUUGUCGUUUUUAAUUAAUUUCAGGGUGAAACAUAUGAAUAGCUCCUGCAUAUAUAUAUAUAUAUAUAUAUAUAUAUAUAUAUAAUAUACUAUAGUAUAUUAUAUAUAUAUAUAUAAUAUAUAUAUCAGACUUUGAAAUUUGAUCCAUAUACUUUUGACUUAAAUUUUUAUUUUUAAACUUUCAAUAAUAAAAAAUUAUAAUUACUAAAUUUAAAUUUAAUUUUUUAAAAAAGGCAUGUGCCUUAUUUGAUGAGAAAGAAGAAAGCAUUAAAUCAAGAAUUUAAUGUGAGAGAACAAAUAUCUUGGCCAUAGAGAAGAAAAGAUAUGCAUAUUUCUCGAUAGAAGAGAGGGAGAGGAGAGAGAAAAAUCAUGUCUUAAAAAUUAAUUUUUAGAGAGAGAUUGAAAGGAAAGCAUUAAAUAAAAAAUUUACACUUAGUAAAAUCAAAAAUAAAUUUUUAAGAAGGACGUGUUUUAUUUGGAGAGAGAAAAAUGAGCAUUAAAUUAAAAAUUAAUGAGAGAGAGGGAAACGGAUUUAAUUAAAAAAGUAAUUAUUUUAAAGAAAGAGCAUAUAAUUGGUGACAAAAACAAGGAAAAGGCAGGCACACUUCUCCGUCACUAAUUUCAUUUCUGGAGUACAAUAUAUGAAAAAUCCUUGCACAAUUCAACUUUGAAAUUUGAUGCAUUUAUUUUGUAGUUCAAUAUUUAACUUUCAAAUUUUCAAAUAUAAUAUAUUUUACUCAUAAUUUAAAAAGUAAAAAUUAUGUAGUUUAAAAAUGUAUAAUUACUAGAACAAAUUUUAAUUUUUUUAAGAAAGUCAUGUCUCUUAUUUGGAGCGAAAGAAGAGAAUAUUAAAUAAAAAUUAAAUUAAGAGAGAGAGAGAGAAAGCACUUUCAAACUUGCAAAUAUAAUGUAUUUUACUUAUAUUUUAAAAAAUAAACAUUAAGUAAUAUUAAAAAUAUAUAAUUACUACAAUCAAAUUUUUAUUUUUUUAAAAAAGUUAUGUCUCUUGUUAUGCACUUUUAAAAAUAAUUUAUUUUUACUUUUCUAAGAAAAAAUGCACAUAAUUUGAUCAUACAAAAUGCAAAGAGAAAUCCACAUUCCUCGGUGAGAGAGAGAGAAGAGAAAAAAAAAGGCAUAUCCCUUAUUUAGAGAGAAAGAGAGGAGAGAGGAGAGAAGAAAAAGUGUCUCAGAGAAUAGAACAUUAAAUAAAAAUUAAAGCGAGAGAGGGAGUAUUUUCAAACUUUCAAAUAUAGUAUAUUUUACUCAUAAUUAAAAAUAAAAAUAAAAACUAGGUAUUUGAAAAAAUGUAUACUAAAUUCAAAUUAAUUUUUUUUAAAAAAAUCAUGUCUUUUGUUUGCAGAAAGGGAAAAAAAAAGGAGAGCAUUAAAUUAAAAAAUUAAAUUGAGAGAGAGAGGAAAGAGGCAUAUAUAUUUCUCAGUGAGAGAAAGAGGAGAGAGAAAUGGUAUGAACAUUAAAUAAAAAAUUAAAGUAAAAGAGACGAGCACACUCCGAGAGUGAAAAAAAUAUAAAGAAAAAAUGUUUCACAUUAUUAGAACAUUUUAUCGGAAGGCCCAAUCAAAAUAGAAUAUAUUCAUGGUUUACAAUGCGCUGGAUACAUCCUAUUUAAUAGAAUAUCAUAUUUCACAUGUGAUGUAAUUUUUUCAAUUUUUUAAAAAUGAUUUGAAUGCCGUAUAUGAUAUUUCAUUUACACAUUUUCUUUUCGAGGAAAAAAAACCUGUAGUGCACUCAUAUAGAAUUUGAUCACAUUCUUCAACUAUCAUAUAUUAUAAACCUUUUUAGUAAAUUAAUAAGAUAUGCUUAAAAUAAAAGAUACUCAUGCAUCCAAAUAGGAUCUAAUACUCCUUGUCUACAAAAUAUUACAUGCUUCUUUUAAGUACAUAAAAAAUAAGAUGGUCAUGGAUCCAAAGGAAACUUAAGGGUUCACCUAUCAUUUAGUGCAAUUUGAAAAUAAAACUCCUCAUCCUGUAUGAGGAAUUACAAAUCAAUUCAACCAUGAACCAAAUUUGAAGCAUCAUCCAAAAUAUACAUCGGAAAAUAUGGCAUAAAUCUUACACCAACACAUCCUAGGGUCUACAAGCCUUUUUUUCCAUUAUAAGUUUUUUUUAAAAAAAAAAAAUUAUAAGAUUAACGAGAAAAUGUUGACCUAUGAAUGUUGGUGAAUGAAUAGUGUAAAAUUUAUAUCUACUUUUUGAGCGCACAAAUAAGGUUUAGGAUUUGAAAACCCUUAAUUUUCCUUAAAAAAAAUUAUAAGAUUAGUGAAAAAAUGUUCACCAAUGAAAGAAUGUGGUAUAAAAUUUAUAUUGCCUUAAAGCUAGGUCUGAAACAAAUCAAUAACAAAGAACCAUAUAUCAUUGUAACAUCCUAAUCUACCAGUCCUAGCAAUUUGUUAAGCUCAAAUCACUGGCCCAAAACGCCUAAGUUAUCAGUAUUAAAGUGUUUAAUCCUUCUAUACAUAAAUACAAUCCCUUCUCUAUUCAAUAUGAGAUUACUAAGAUGUCACAAUUAUGAUGGAAUCAAAUAAUUUAGCUUUAAUUUAGAUAAAAUUGCUUAUACCAACCCUACACAUCCAAUAAAUGUUGUAAUAUUUCCAAUAUUAAGGCAAAUUCCCUCAGACACUUUCACAACAUUUCCCACUUGGACCGACCGUCCCUAGAGCAAAUGGCAAAAGGCUUGGUGGUUGGUACCCGAGACCCAAAUUCGAAUCCUAGUCGAUUCACAUUUCCAGCUAAGUUUAUUUCUAAAUGAAAUAAACGAAGCGAGUAGCGUGCUUCCUAUCUCUAAAGAAAAAAAAAAAAAAAAAAAAAAAACAUUUCCCACUUGGCAAAUACACAAGAAAGUAGAUAUAUCUAUUGCUAGUAAAUAUAAUAGCAACCAAAACAAGCAAUAAGAUAACCUAAUUUGAUUUCCGAUAAACUGUAAUUAGUUCCAUUGUGGUUGAUUGCAUUUUUUCCUUUACCAUUGUUUUGCUUAAACUGUUCAACUUUGGUUUUACGUAGUUUUAAUUUUGUUUUACCGUAAGAACCUGCCGUUAAGUAGGAUAACAAAGUAUAACAAUUCACAAACCACAACAUAGUAAAAUAUUAAUUUUUACAAACCAAAGGUGGUAAAUUAUGCCAGUUUACUACUUCGUAGUUUACAUUGUACCACCUUGUGGUUGGUGAAAUAUAACACUUCGCUACUCCUUCCUAAUGGCAGGUAGUACAAUUUUACAAACCACAAAAUGGCUAGUUAAUAACGCGCCAAAUCGCGGACGGACUAAUUGAAGUUACCCUUUGCUUUUUGUCACUGAUUAAACAAAAAAAAUACUAAUCCAUAGUGAAUAAAGGGAAGAUGUAGAAACAAAUUUAUUCAAACAAUUAAUAGAGAUAUUCCUGAUACAGAGUUUAUGUUUAUGCAGUCAAAUUUAUUCUACUAGAAUAGUUCAGAUAACUUCUUCCGACCUAAUUCUUAUUACCCUUUUAUUCAUACAUCAUUUAGAUGUGAUUAUGUAAAACAUACUCACUAGCGCCAGUUGAUGCAUUAAGGAGUUCCCCGAACUUCAACAAAAACUGCUGUGGUUCUCUGAGGAACAGUGAAGCGACCGGCGACUCCCUCAUACGUUGACUUUUUGACCAACCCAUCCACCGAUUUCAGCUGCGCCAGUUUCGAUUCACAUUAAAUUAUCACAGGACUUCCCAAGCAUAGUGCACAAAUCGAAUGACGAAUAAAUAAAAAUAAUACCUGCACAGGGUGCAAUUCAAGUGCUCUCGACCUGAGCGCAGGAACUUCUAUAGAGACUUCAGAUGGGCAUGCAUUGAAGGCAACUACAAUAUAGGAGUAGCUGAAGCAAAAUAUUGAUUGUGAUUAAUUUAUAUGAAACUAAAUAAUUUGCCACCAAAAAUAUUGAAACCAGAAAUUGAAUGAGCAAACGUGUACUACUCACAUUGGAUCUAAUUGGGUGAUGCCUGGUUUUCCAUCAUGUCCAUCUUCAAUGCUCAUAAUGAUUGCUCCACAGACCCAUGACGGACCUGUGUUAUGGAAUCGAACUCGUUCCUACAUAUUAAUGAGGGGAAUCAGUAUGUGGAAAUAAGAAAGAAAAAAGGAGAAACACUCGAGCUAAUGAAACCCCUAUAUUAUGUUAGUGUUCAGCUUGAAGUUAAAUCUAGUGGCAAAAUUGCACUGCAACAGGGUGAGAAUCAGGUAUACGAAUGUUUCGUAUGUUAUGCCAAUUAUUUUGACCUCCCAAUAUGCAAUUUGCAUUGAUCUC